CUUCAAUUUAAACACAAAAUCUCACACGUAUAAAGGCAAGACUACUCCAGUACAACUAAGCUACAUAUUUUAACCAUUAACGACAACAACAGAAAACUAAACAGACUAUAAACCCAGCAGGCCAUAAGUGACUUGGGCUGUUCACUAUGAAAAUUCUCAUCGUGUAACACUUAGAAUUACAUCUGUAACAAAUGAUCCACUCUACAUAUGAUUGCAUGCAUUCUGCAACAACUUUUUCUUUCAUACUGUUACAGCUCGUAACCUAGCAAAUGAUCCAUUAAUUGAGACUAUGAACUUGAAUUUAAACGUGCCAUAUAAUACAUACACAACCCAAACUCUAAAAUAAACUGCUUCAGACAAUAAACCAACACAAAAGGGCUACAAUCUUUCAACUUGCAGUAAAGUGCUCAAUUCUUACAGAGAAUCAGGUUAUCAUUCAGAAAUGACUACCAAAAGUAAA
RNAcentral lists this unclassified non-coding RNA (460 nucleotides) under Hevea brasiliensis (rubber tree). Lineage: Eukaryota; Viridiplantae; Streptophyta; Magnoliopsida; Malpighiales; Euphorbiaceae. The record is from RNAcentral.